RNAcentral lists this ribosomal RNA (405 nucleotides) under uncultured bacterium. RNAcentral describes it as "partial 16S ribosomal RNA". It matches the Rfam family "Bacterial small subunit ribosomal RNA", at positions 28 to 526 of the family's 1533-position model. The record is from RNAcentral.
GUUGAACGCUGGCGGCGUGCCUAAUACAUGCAAGUCGAGCGAAGCGGGGACGGGUGAGUAACACGUGGAUAACCUCCUAUAAGACUGGGAUAAUUUCGGGAAACCGGAGUUAAACCGGAUACUAAUAGAUGGAUCUGCGCUGCAUUAGCUAGUUGGUAGGGUAACGGCUUACCAAGGCAACGAUGCAUAGCCGACCUGAGAGGAUGAUCGGCCACACUGGAACUGAGACACGGUCCAGACUCCUACGGGAGGCAGCAGUAGGGAAUCUUCCACAAUGGGCGAAAGCCUGACGGAGCAACGCCGCGUGAGUGAUGAAGGUCUUCGGAUCGUAAAACUCUGUUAUUAGGGAAGCGGUACCUAAUCAGAAAGCCACGGCUAACUACGUGCCAGCAGCCGCGGUAAUUC